GAUGAACGCUGGCGGCGUGCUUAACACAUGCAAGUCGAACGGACGAUGAAGAGCUUGCUUUUCAAAGUUAGUGGCGGACGGGUGAGUAACGCGUGGGUAACCUGCCUCAUACAGGGGGAUAGCAGCUGGAAACGGCUGAUAAAACCGCAUAAGCGCACAGCAUCGCAUGAUGCAGUGUGAAAAACUCCGGUGGUAUGAGAUGGACCCGCGUCUGAUUAGCUGGUUGGUGAGGUAACGGCCCACCAAGGCGACGAUCAGUAGCCGGCCUGAGAGGGUGACCGGCCACAUUGGGACUGAGACACGGCCCAAAACUCCUACGGGAGGCAGCAGUGGGGAAUAUUGCACAAUGGGGGAAACCCUGAUGCAGCGACGCCGCGUGAAGGAAGAAGUAUCUCGGGUAUGUAAAACUUCUAUCAGCAGGGAAGAUAAUGACGGUACCUGACUAAGAAGCCCCGGCUAACUACGUG
Molecule: ribosomal RNA, 467 nt
Filed under: uncultured bacterium
Lineage: Bacteria
Description: bacterial SSU rRNA
Rfam family: Bacterial small subunit ribosomal RNA
Source: RNAcentral